GAUGAACGCUGGCGGCGUGCCUAAUACAUGCAAGUCGAGCGAACAGACGAGGAGCUUGCUCCUCUGACGUUAGCGGCGGACGGGUGAGUAACACGUGGAUAACCUACCUAUAAGACUGGGAUAACUUCGGGAAACCGGAGCUAAUACCGGAUAAUAUAUUGAACCGCAUGGUUCAAUAGUGAAAGACGGUUUUGCUGUCACUUAUAGAUGGAUCCGCGCCGCAUGAGCUAGUUGGUAAGGUAACGGCUUACCAAGGCGACGAUGCGUAGCCGACCUGAGAGGGUGAUCGGCCACCCUGGAACUGAGACACGGUCCAGACUCCUACGGGAGGCAGCAGUAGGGAAUCUUCCGCAAUGGGCGAAAGCCUGGCGGAGCAACGCCGCGUGAGUGAUGAAGGUCUUCGGUUCGUAAAACUCUGUUAUUAGGGAAGAACAAAUGUGUAAGUAACUAUGCACGUCUUGACGGUACCUAAUCAGAAAGCCACGGCUAACUACGUG
This 497-nucleotide ribosomal RNA is filed under the name uncultured bacterium. RNAcentral's name for it is "partial 16S ribosomal RNA". It matches the Rfam family "Bacterial small subunit ribosomal RNA", at positions 28 to 507 of the family's 1533-position model. The record is from RNAcentral.